RNAcentral lists this long non-coding RNA (2200 nucleotides) under Homo sapiens (human). RNAcentral describes it as "HSALNT0366737". Lineage: Eukaryota; Metazoa; Chordata; Mammalia; Primates; Hominidae. The record is from RNAcentral.
AGACUGAUCACAGGCCACUACUUCAUUUACAUAAGGUGUAAACCAAGUAACCAAUUGGAAACCUCUAGACGGUAUUUAAACUCCAGAAAAUUCUAUAACCAGCCUCUUGAGCUGCUUGCUUGGCCCACUCUCACUCUGUGGAGUGUACAUUUGUUUCCAUAAAUCUGUGCUUUUUUUUUCAUUGUUUUGUUUGUGCAUUUCAUCCAAUUGUUUGUUCAAAAUGCCAAGAAUCUGGACACCCUCCACCAGUAACAGGCAUUGGGAAGGGGAAGGCAGAAAAGCGGAGUGCAAAAUGAAGUGGUAGUGGGUGCUAACUAACAAGAGAACCUUUGAACACGAUGGGACAGAAAUAAGGUCAUGCAUUUUCUACUAUCUGUCACCUGUGGACAACUUGCCACUUCAACAGUUCUGGACACUUUUAAGCUCCCCCGAGGAGAAGAUAGGAAACUUGGACACCCUGUGUGGGAUUGAGAAUCACAAAGGGGCAGUCUCGCACCUGGUCAAGAUAAAGCUGAACUGAACUCUUCAUUCACAAGUGGGAUUCUCGUAAGAGGCAGGAAAGCAGGGACCGUCUGUCACUACAGACAGCAAGAAGAGGCAAGAAGAGAAUAGAGGCAAAGCAAGCCACUCCAGAAGUCCUCUAGCCAGCUUUGUCUUUAGUUUGAUGGCCAGAGCUAAACACUGUGCUGGUUAUCCCCAUCCAUAACUCCUCCCAAAGGGCCCAAUAGCCUGCCUUCCAGCAGAGCUAAUAAUCCAUGGUUUAAGUUAUGCAUUCGGACUGUAAGAAAUCUGAAUAAAACGUCAUUCUCCCUUUUAUCCAACUGGCAAAAUGCAUACUCUUCCUCUAAACUCAAUUGAAUGGAGUUCUUUGAGAAGACUUCCUGAUAACAUGCUAGGAAAUCCAAGCCAAAAGCUCCUUUUGGAGACAAGAAUAUUCUGACAGCACCUCCUACGAUGUGACAGAGUCAAAGAAGAAAAUAUACAAGAGAACUCUGCUAUAGAAAAUUACAAAUUCAAACCAUGGGAAAAUGGGGAAUAGAAAAAUUAUCUCUUUAGACAGAGAAAAGAUUAUAAAUACUGAAAAUUGUCAUUUCUAUAAAUGUCAUUGCUCUUCUGUUUUACAUUGUGUAAAUAUUUGGAAGAAAAUGGCACAAUUUUCUUUCAAAAAAAGGGAAACAUUCAAAAUAUUUAAAUUAUAUAUAUUAUAUAUGUAACAUGAUCAGCAAGUCUGGAAACAUAACGAAGUUUUAUAGUAUUGAUUUAUUCCUAUCACUCUGAGAUAUGGUGACAUUACAUGAUAUGUUCAACGUGUUGUUCCUCAUUAGCAAUGUGUUAUGCAUAAUGGGGACCAACAUGGGACAUUAAUACAACAUUUCUAUCAGUGCCUGCACAUGCUUCUGUGAUACGUUGCCUCCAAUGAUUUUUGUCUCUAAUUUUCAGAAUAUAAACCUGCUCCAUUAGCAUUUUCUGGAAGAAGCAAUCAAAUGGGUUAAUCUGUGAAAGUAAAUGUUAUCUAUAUUUCCCAACAUUAUGGCCAUCCUGUAUUAACGUAUAUUAUGUAUAUUCUGAACUGCUCCAUAAUUGGAAUAGUCAUUCCUUAUCAAUAAUUUACUUGAUAUCAUGGAUAUGUGUCUUUUAGUUAAUGAUCCCUUUGCCAACUAGCCUAGUUUAUAGGCAGUGACUAUAUCAUACUCAUUUUGAAUUCCCAAUACUUACCACAGCUUCCUAUACAUGGUAGUUGUUUAAUAAAUAAUUCUUGAAUAAAAAUAAACUUUAAAUAUUUCCUUAUUAUUUAGCUUUCGAGUACAUCUUGGAUAUUUGACACUUAAGCACAUACCACCCAGAUCCUUAUUUCCUCUGAUGGUUUUAUCAUAAUAAUUGCUCUGAGAGAUUUUUCCAGUGAAGUCUUAGAGUUACCACAUCUCUGCUUAUGCUUUCCACCACUGAAAGAUAGCUUUCUCCAGAUUCUUCUUCUUUUUUUAAAUGCUCACUUCUCUUCUAAGAUAUCUGGACCGAAUGGGUUUCAUUUUGUAUUGCUUUCACGACAAAAGCCAAACUACUAAGUGAGGAAAUAAACUGUUCAAAGUUUAUACAAAUUGUGAACGAGUGUAUGAAAAAAAUAUUUUUCAGUGGAAUUCAAAUGACAAACAUUUACUUAAUGUAAUCCAAAGUGACAUAAUAAAAGACAAAGAGUUUCAUA